This 1473-nucleotide ribosomal RNA is filed under the name marine eukaryotic metagenome. Its description in RNAcentral is "Bacterial small subunit ribosomal RNA". It matches the Rfam family "Bacterial small subunit ribosomal RNA". The record is from RNAcentral.
AAAAAGAGUUUGAUCCUAGCUCAGGGUGAACGCUAGCGGUGCGCCUAACACAUGCAAGUCGAGCGGUAAUAGAGAGAAGCUUGCUUUUCUCUAUGAGAGCGGCGAACGGGUGAGUAACACGUUGGUAUCUGCCCCCAAGUCAGGGAUAGCCAUUGGAAACGAUGAUUAAUACCGGAUAGUCUCUUCGGAGUAAAAAUUUAUUGCUUGGGGAGGAACCUGCGUUCUAUCAGCUUGUUGGUGAGGUAAAAGCUCACCAAGGCUAUGACGGAUACCUGGUCUGAGAGGAUGAUCAGGCACAAUGGAACUGAGACACGGUCCAUACUCCUACGGGAGGCAGCAGUGAGGAAUCUUCCACAAUGGACGAAAGUCUGAUGGAGCGACACCGCGUGAAGGAUGAAUGUCUAACGAUUGUAAACUUCUUUUCUGGGGGAGCAUAAUGAGAGUACCCCAGGAAUAAGGGACGGCUAAUUACGUGCCAGCAGCCGCGGUAAUACGUAAGUCCCAAGCGUUACCCGGAAUCAUUGGGUGUAAAGGGUUCGUAGGUGGUUAAAUAAGUUGGAUAUGAAAGACCGGAGCUCAACUUCGUGUUUGUGUUCAAAACUGUUCAACUAGAAUUAGGGAGAGGUAAGCGGAAUUCUGAGUGUAGGGGUGCAAUCCGUAGAUACUCAGAGGAACACCAAAAGCGAAGGCAGCUUACUGGAACUAUAUUGACGCUGAGGAACGAAAGCGUGGGUAGCGAAAAGGAUUAGAUACCCUUGUAGUCCACGCCCUAAACGAUGAUAACUAAGUGUUGCGACUCGCUCGCAGUGCUGUAGCUAACGCGUUAAGUUAUCCACCUGAGGAGUACGGUCGCAAGAUUAAAACUCAAAGGAAUAGACGGGGACCCACACAAGCAGUGGAUCACGUGGUUUAAUUCGACAAUAAACGGGGAACCUUACCCAGGCUUGACAUCCUAGGAAUCUUUCAGAGAUGAGAGAGUGCUUUUAUUAGAACCUAGUGACAGGUGCUGCAUGGUUGUCGUCAGCUCGUGCCUUGAGGUGUUCGGUUAAGUCCGUUAACGAGCGCAACCCAUGUCGUUAGUUAUUAUGUCUAACGAGACUGCCUUGGUUAACAAGGAGGAAGGUGUGGAUGACGUCAAAUCAGCAUGGCUUUUACGCCUGGGGCUACACACAUGAUACAAUGGUGUAUACAAAGAGCAGCAAUACGGCAACGUGGAGCUAAUCUUCAAAAUACAUCUCAGUCCGGAUUGAGGUCUGCAACUCGACCUCAUGAAGUUGGAAUUGCUAGUAAUCGUGAAUCAGAUAUGUCACGGUGAAUAUGUUCCUGGGUCUUGUACUCACCGCCCGUCAUGGCAUGGGAGGAAGUAAUAUUGGAAGCCCCUCUAGUAAUAUGAGGGUCCAUAGUAGGACUUCUGACUGGGCUAAAGUCGUAACAAGGUAUCCGUAGGAGAACCUGCGGAUGGACUAUCUCCUU